GACGAACGCUGGCGGCGUGCUUAACACAUGCAAGUCGAACGCUGAAGCUUGGUGCUUGCACUGGGUGGAUGAGUGGCGAACGGGUGAGUAAUACGUGAGUAACCUGCCCUUGACUCUGGGAUAAGCCUGGGAAACUGGGUCUAAUACUGGAUACGACAUGUCACCGCAUGGUGGUGUGUGGAAAGGGUUUUACUGGUUUUGGAUGGGCUCACGGCCUAUCAGCUUGUUGGUGGGGUAAUGGCUCACCAAGGCGACGACGGGUAGCCGGCCUGAGAGGGUGACCGGCCACACUGGGACUGAGACACGGCCCAGACUCCUACGGGAGGCAGCAGUGGGGAAUAUUGCACAAUGGGCGGAAGCCUGAUGCAGCGACGCCGCGUGAGGGAUGACGGCCUUCGGGUUGUAAACCUCUUUCAGCACGGAAGAAGCGAAAGUGACGGUACGUGCAGAAGAGGCGCCGGCUAACUACGUG
This 472-nucleotide ribosomal RNA is filed under the name uncultured bacterium. RNAcentral describes it as "partial 16S ribosomal RNA". It matches the Rfam family "Bacterial small subunit ribosomal RNA", at positions 28 to 507 of the family's 1533-position model. The record is from RNAcentral.